AUUCACGUAGUUUAAAUAAAACACUUUAUUUUCAUUAAAAAAAAGAUAAUUUACUAUCCAUGAAUA
Molecule: transfer RNA, 66 nt
Filed under: unidentified
Description: Rhytidodus viridiflavus tRNA-Glu
Source: RNAcentral